UGCACCGGAUCCCAUCAGAACUCCGCAGUUAAGCGCGCUUGGGCGAGAGUAGUACUAGGAUGGGUGACCUCCUGGGAAGUCCUCGUGUUGCACCCC
Molecule: ribosomal RNA, 96 nt
Filed under: Ostryopsis davidiana
Lineage: Eukaryota; Viridiplantae; Streptophyta; Magnoliopsida; Fagales; Betulaceae
Also listed under: 2 other names
Source: RNAcentral